Molecule: long non-coding RNA, 1311 nt
Organism: Rhineura floridana
Lineage: Eukaryota; Metazoa; Chordata; Lepidosauria; Squamata; Rhineuridae
Exons: 2
Source: RefSeq, a predicted model, not a curated record
AGAAGUUCCAUGCUUGAUGGAAGCUUUGAAGCACCCAAUGGCCUUGUGAAUAGCAAGAAUGUGUGAAUCCCAUCUCUAAUAGACUGAAGUGUUUGUAGAAAUGGUAAUGGAUACCAAAGAAAAAAUCUGUGAUGACCUUUGCCCAUUUUCCAAUGUGGAAGUCAAGGAUCAACCCAUGGUUUCUACCGGGAAGACUUUGAAGUCUUGGAUUUUCCUCAAGAUUCUAGACCUGGGAUCACUCUCAGGAUGCUGAGCUUGUGACUUCUGUUCCUCCUUCUGUUUACCUUGUUCCUUAUGGACCUCACUUUCCCACUUCUCCAGAUGUCUCAUUGAAGGUGAUGUGGGUGGCAGGGAGGUAACAAUUCAUACCAGGAAGAAUAUAGGGUGGACCUGGUUUACUGGCAAACUACUGUGAUGCUUAGCUACCCCAUGUUUAGAAGCCUCUGAAGUCUCUUUCUCCAUUUCUAAUGAGUACUAAAGGUAGUGAUAUUAGGAAGAUGCCAAUCCAAGCCAAUGGGAAGUCAGUAGUUGCUUUUUUAUUUUAUUUUAAAAUAUUUUAAAGCAAAUUAUAAAACAUAAAAACAAACUAUUUCAAUCAUUACAAAACAAUUUACAAAAAAUUUCCCUCCCCAUUCCCUCUUUGUUUUGCUUGUAGUUUCAUUUAAGAGCAGUUCAUUGAUGAGUUUUCUUUAAAUGCUUUUCUUUGCUAAUUGAGGUACAUGGUUGUGACUCUUGCCACCCCUCCCAAGUUAGUAGUCUUCUUGAACCUGCAAUCCAGAGCAAAGUGUUUUUGAGAACACAAAGAUGUGACUAACUGGUGGUUGAUUACCUGUACCAGCUUCUGUGAUCCUCUCCUUGCCAAUCCAGCCUGGGGGCAAAGGACAGGAAUGAAAGGGGAUACAAAUGAUGCCUUGAUGUUUGCUUCACUUAGUCAAGCUAUAAAUGCAUCAAUAGCUUUGCCCUGUGUGUUUGUAAUAUACAAAGACAGCAAGCAUGUCUUCAUAUAUUCCGUUAAUUAAAGUUGUUCCAUUAUGCCCUUUUCCUAGUUAAGGUCUGGUAUGGUAACUCAGCCUUACAUGGUGCUUCUGUUGCCCUGCAACAAGGGAACAGCAAAAUACAGACAAGUUUGUGAGUCAUUUUAAAGUUCCAAAUUAUCAAAUAGAGGUCUGAUCAGUUCCAUGACUUGCCGCAGACAAUGUUUUAUUCAGAAAAGGAAGUGAAUUUAGGCGUAACUUUAAAUAACGCAUAUCGGAGGUAACCUCUCAAAUUAUAUAGAAUUUGACAUAAUUAAACAGUUAUUUCAUACUACAA